GUGAAUCAUCGAAUCUUUGAACGCAAAUUGCACUCUCUUGCAUGCCGGAGAGUGUUCCUGGGUGAGGGUCAGUUUAAAUGAAAAUGUAGGUGUUGCUGGGUUAUAACCCAUCGGAAUUGGGUUAUCUUUAACCUUUUAGAAAAUGUAAGUGACCUAAAAUUGAUACCUUGCACAUCUCAG
RNAcentral lists this unclassified non-coding RNA (180 nucleotides) under Glomeromycetes sp. RNAcentral describes it as "partial internal transcribed spacer 2". The stretch from base 1 to 71 matches the Rfam family "5.8S ribosomal RNA", at positions 84 to 154 of the family's 154-position model. Lineage: Eukaryota; Fungi; Glomeromycota; Glomeromycetes. The record is from RNAcentral.